Molecule: ribosomal RNA, 497 nt
Filed under: uncultured bacterium
Lineage: Bacteria
Description: partial 16S ribosomal RNA
Rfam family: Bacterial small subunit ribosomal RNA
Source: RNAcentral
GACGAACGCUGGCGGCGUGCCUAAUACAUGCAAGUAGAACGCUGAAGCGAGGAGCUUGCUCUUCUUGGAUGAGUUGCGAACGGGUGAGUAACGCGUAGGUAACCUGCCUUGUAGCGGGGGAUAACUAUUGGAAACGAUAGCUAAUACCGCAUAACAAUGGAUGACACAUGUCAUUUAUUUGAAAGGGGCAAUUGUUCCACUACAAGAUGGACCUGCGUUGUAUUAGCUAGUAGGUGAGGUAAUGGCUCACCUAGGCGACGAUACAUAGCCGACCUGAGAGGGUGAUCGGCCACACUGGGACUGAGACACGGCCCAGACUCCUACGGGAGGCAGCAGUAGGGAAUCUUCGGCAAUGGGGGCAGCCCUGACCGAGCAACGCCGCGUGAGUGAAGAAGGUUUUCGGAUCGUAAAGCUCUGUUGUAAGUCAAGAACGGGUGUGAGAGUGGAAAGUUCACACUGUGACGGUAGCUUACCAGAAAGGGACGGCUAACUACGUG